AGCCCCUCCCAGUCUCGCGAAACCAGCGCCUUGUAGCCCCUCCCAGCAGCGCCUCCUAGCCCCUCCAAGCAGUGCCGUGCCGGACCAGCCGCCCAGCAGCGACGUUUAGCCCUUCCUAGUAGCGCGAACCCAUCAGCGACGUUCAAUCCCUCCCAGCAGCACGAACCAGCGAAACCAACCCCUCCGAGCAGCGCCGAACCAGCACCUCCCAGCCCCUCCGAGUGCCGGACACCAGAUUUGAAGCCUCCAAGUAAGUUGCCAUAAGGAAUUCAUUUGGUGCCACAAAUUACCCAGCAGCGCCAAAGCCUUCUUCCCAACAGCGUUUCUGGCCAAAGUCUCCGAGUCAGAUUUUAUGCAUUCAGUGAAAAGAGUUCAUAUGAACAACUUUGGAGAACCUAUCAAACUGCAGAAAUUUACAGGAUACAAAAACAAAAAAUAGCAUAUAAAUGGUCAUGAAAGAGAUUGUGUUAUGAUGAUGCAUUGGUGCUGUGCCGGUUCUUCUUCCAAAUGAAUCUACGAGCAUCAGAUCUCCGACUGCAUUGCCUGUUGCGCCAGUCCUCGUAGAAAUACUGGAAAUUUAUAUUUAUUUUAUGUUGUGUUGACUACUAAACUUUUAAACUUCUUUAAUUAUCGCUUGUUAAUUUUUUUGUCAUUGAAUUUCAUUGGAUUAAGACUUUGUUAGUUAUUGUAUAUUUGUUUGUUGAUUUCAAUUGAUGAC
This is a long non-coding RNA of Arachis duranensis, 718 nucleotides long. RefSeq lists it as uncharacterized. NCBI's taxonomy places the organism in Eukaryota, Viridiplantae, Streptophyta, Magnoliopsida, Fabales, Fabaceae. The transcript is spliced from 4 exons. The record is from RefSeq and is a predicted model, not a curated record.